Anser cygnoides (Swan goose) is the source of this 3136-nucleotide long non-coding RNA. Lineage: Eukaryota; Metazoa; Chordata; Aves; Anseriformes; Anatidae. The record is from Ensembl.
GUCCAGAAGCUCUGGUGAGAGAGACAAUAUUUGCAUUGUGCCCUGGCUUCUCCCUGGCGUCUGUUCUCAGGACUGGCGAUCCUGCUCUUGAAGUGGUUUGAGGUGGAACAGAAUGCAUUUGUGCUGAGAACAGCAGAGGGAUUUUAGUCACUUUCUGAAAUGGGGAAAAUUGCCUCAUUUUUCAGCAUUUGGCCUGCAAUCCCACACUUCCCUAGCUCUAUGUACAGAUUAGUUCAUACUUUUUUGGUGUUUUUGGCUUGAAAUGAACACUCCCAGCCAGCGGAUAGAUAAUUCCACUUGUGCCGAUCCCCCGGGGCACAUGCAGGGCUGCAGAAACAGGAAAUAGGAAACGUAUUACAUACCUUUUCCCCUCAAUUUUAUUUUCAUAAUGCAUGGAAAAUAGCAGAGCUCUGAAUUAUUUGAAAUUUUAGAGUUAUUUAAUAUUUAUUUUUGAGAAACAAUCUCUCUUUCAGGCAGGCCUGGUGGUGCCGGACCAGCAGCCCGGCCAGCUCCAGCUCCAGCGGGCGCGGGAGGCACUGGUGAGGCAGAGCCGGGGGCAUGGGGGGGCUGCUCCCCGCUGCAGCCCCCGGCAGCCCAGGAAGGGGUCCCCGGGGGGUUGCAGAGAUGUGCGGUCCUCGGGCUCCAGCUGCAGGGGUGCGGCAGGGGCAUCGCUCCCCCGCCCUCUGAGGUUUGCAGCACUGCAUCUGCCUCAGGUGGUGCCCGGAUGUGGUUUUGUUGCAGUAGCUGCUUUUCAGCACCAGCGUUUAAAAAUCUUAAGUUUUCACCUGCACUCCAGCAGAGUGGAGGGAUGUGGUGGGGCAGGGGAUGAGGAACUGCUCGCUGCCAGCCUUGCAGAGCUUCCCAGCACUGCAGCUCCCGCCCUGGGAUGCAGGGAGGAGCGAUGCUCCCUUGGCAGCAGCUGCAUGCACGUUGCUGCCCUGGUUUUCUCCUCCUUCAUACAGACCAUCAGAGCAAAGAAAACCCUUGGGCCCUCUGCAAUCUGGCUCGGUACAAGACCCCCCGAAUUAGUUUUCUUCACAAAACCAGUGCAAAGCAGUCUGCAAAGGACAUCAAGCUCUGCUCUCAGGGAUCCGACCUGGGGGAGGUCUUCUACCUGAUGAAGCUGCGGAUUCCGGCUGGAGUACUGCAGCAGCCAUCAGCUCCUCCUGGACUCAUAGACUGGGGAGAGGCAUUCAGACUGUGCUGAUUUUCUUCACAGCUUCAAAGGUAACACUGAUUCCAGUGGGGGAAAAAAAUGCUUGAAGGGACAGAGGCAAGUCUGGCUUUGGCAGGUUCGUAGCUGAUGCUCUGCGCCCCAGAUUGGCAGAGCGGUCUGUUGGUGGUUGUGCUCUGUUCCUCCCAGCUGUGCUUCUACCACUCUUGUAUCCAAGAUAUCCCAAACUAUGCGGAUGCCACAUGCAGACAAGGCCACGGGACAAUGCGCUUCAGCAGGAAGGUGAUGGCAAUAGGUAGCUCUUUAAGAAGUUCGUUUCAAAUAAGCACCGCACAGAGCCGGCAGUGCCUUUGGAUCUCUGUUUCCUUCGGAUCUCAGUGAAUCUACACUCCUGGUCCCUUGACAGCCUGGGCGCUCAGGAGCAGCCAGGCUGGAUUUGCUGGUGGUAUCACCAGGUACAUCGCCAGUGUUGGCUGAAGGCUAGUGCUGCAGCAGUGUGAGCACUUGUCACUUCCAUCCUCCAAAAAAUAGGCCUAAACUUUGUUUGCAGAAAUACACCUGGCAAACUCCACGGCUUAAAAUUAGAAGUGCAAUUUUAUGUCUAAAAGCUGACAAUGGAUGAACAACAGGUCAUGCACAAAAAUGAAAGGGGACGUGACUAAUAUUGGAUGAAUUUCUAGAAAUUGGAUGCCAACAGAUCCAUGAUAAAAUUCUCCCACAAAGUAAACAUACAAAGAUUGUUUAUGUGCCAAUUUUCAGUUUCUGCUGCAUAUUACAAAAGUAAGCUAACUGCGGUUAAAAAUACAGAGUAACAAAUCCUCUUACCAGGGAAGCUGCAGUUUCCAAAUCUGCCACUCUAGUCGCAGCAUUAAUUUCCAAAGCCAUCUAUCCAUAGCAAGAUAACCUACUUGGCCAAAAUUUCUUCAUUGUGGGAAUGAUACUGAGUAAGCAACAGAUACAUACAGGCACACGUUGAGUUCUGGUAGAUGAAAUCUGUAGGGUCCAGCUUCUGCAGCUCGCUGGGGGAGACUGCAUUUUUCUGAGUGCGCCUUACGGAGCUGCGUGGCUGGGAGUGCCAGUGCCUGAAAUACACUGCCUGGCUUGCAAAAAAAAGCCAGUCCUCUUUGAUGAUGCAGAAAUCAUUUUACUUGUUGAAGCAGUGAAUGUUAAUGAUUAUUAAUUGUAAAAGGCUCUCCAGGGGCUAUGUGUGUGUGGGACUACUGAGUGCUUUGCAAUUCCAGCAUGAAAUGAGUUACUCCACAGCAUUAAAAUGAGAACAACUCUCACUAGCAUCCACAGAAAGUAAUUGAAUUGUUACUGUGUGGCACCAGUCCCUUCCGUUUUGCUCAGCAUUGUCACAAGGAGCCAGGCACCCUUAGCAGUAAGACAUAAAACAUGAAUUCAACCUGAAAUUUAGGUGGAAAAAUAUAUUUUCAGCCUCCCUCUAAAACUGCUGUAAGGUAACCCAGCGUGCCCCAGAGCAGCAGGGUAGUUUUGCCACAGAGGUGUUUGUGUUUUGGCAGCUGUCACAACAGGGGCAGGCAGGCAGCGGUGAGCGCAGGGGAGAGGUGCUUGCGGGGAAGUGCCUGUGCAGAGUGCUUGGCUGAACUGAUCACAGGAACGACGAAAAGAGUGGCUGCAGCAGACAAUCACAGGAUUAUUUCUGUGCAAAUGAGCAAAGUUAUUGCUAGGCUCUGCUUUGCAGGGUGCUCAGACGUGAUCAGCCCUGCUGGAAGGGGGUGGGAAAGCAGCUUUAGUCCAGAGGUGUGGAUGCCAAAGCAACAGCAGCAAGCACGCUGCUGGUACAGCUGGGCCAGGGCCAGGUAGGCACGGCGUGGCCAUCAUGCACAGUCCGCUCAUGCCUAGGAGGUUGUGUGAUGAUGUGGCAUGGGGUCCGUACAUGUGGGACUUCAGGAAAACUUGUCUAAUAAAAGAAACUGCCUCUUUAAGGCGUACCUUCCC